AAUAUUGGGUUAGUUCAAUUAUGCAUAGAGAUCUCACAAAGUUUAAGAUUGCUACAAAUGUUGGCUUAACACCAAAUCAUUUAUCUCUAUACAGUGUCAGAAAAUAAUGGCACCUCUCAAACUGGCUCAAAGAACAACAGUAAGAGGGAAAAGCAACCAUACUAUGGUUUACUCAAACCAACUGCUUUCCACGCCAAGGAUACAUUCAGUUCCAGUCAUGAACAAUUUUUUAAAUGCUCAUCAAGAGUUUAUAUUCCAAUUCAGAUUUGAUAAACUGAGCCCCCAAAUUUGUUAAGAGUCAAAGCCAAUUUCUUAAGAUGACAACAGAAUAAUUUACAUCUUCAAGUUAUGCCUUUUAAGUACCAUCCUUCAAAUCCAGGAUAUAUUCUUAAUACUGAGAUGGCUGUUAAGAGCUUACCAGUUACUAUAACAUAAUAAAACUCAAGCUGA
This 450-nucleotide long non-coding RNA is filed under the name Bos taurus (domestic cattle). RNAcentral describes it as "long non-coding RNA NONBTAT013602". Lineage: Eukaryota; Metazoa; Chordata; Mammalia; Artiodactyla; Bovidae. The record is from RNAcentral.